Capsicum annuum is the source of this 453-nucleotide long non-coding RNA. RefSeq lists it as uncharacterized. The transcript has 2 exons. NCBI's taxonomy places the organism in Eukaryota, Viridiplantae, Streptophyta, Magnoliopsida, Solanales, Solanaceae. The record is from RefSeq and is a predicted model, not a curated record.
AAUUAUUAUUUUACCACACAAAUAUCUAUCCAUGUGGCUAUUGUUUUCAUCAUAUGGACAUUAAAUGACAUCACAAGAUGAUGUUUUAAGAAUGAAAAAUAAUAAAUUAAUGGCUCUAGCUUUUAGAAUUGGCAUUUCUAGGAUAGAAUAGAUGACUCAAAUAAAUAGGCAAAAGUGUCUUCAUAUUACACAAUAAUCUCCUCUCGCCAGUUCUCAAUUCUGACAUAUCUAUAUCAAAAAUGAAGAUGAAGUUUAGAAUUUUGGAGGAAUAGAUAAACGACGGCGAUGAGGCGGCAUGAGGAGGCUAAACUACUAGGAGUGUAGAUUUGAAGGGGUAAGAUAUUAGGGUUUGGGGGUAGAUAUGUAUAUAUGUUGAAAACAGAUGGGCCUUUAAUCAUUACUAGCAAAAUGUGAACUUUGGUCCUUAUACUAUUGAGUAUUGACAAACCAUUA